This 255-nucleotide ribosomal RNA is filed under the name Escherichia coli. RNAcentral's name for it is "partial 23S ribosomal RNA". It matches the Rfam family "Bacterial large subunit ribosomal RNA", at positions 2112 to 2366 of the family's 2925-position model. Lineage: Bacteria; Pseudomonadati; Pseudomonadota; Gammaproteobacteria; Enterobacterales; Enterobacteriaceae. The record is from RNAcentral.
UGACACUGAACAUUGAGCCUUGAUGUGUAGGAUAGGUGGGAGGCUUUGAAGUGUGGACGCCAGUCUGCAUGGAGCCGGCCUUGAAAUACCACCCUUUAAUGUUUGAUGUUCUAACGUUGGCCCCUGACCGGGGUUGCGGACAGUGUCUGGUGGGUAGUUUGACUGGGGCGGUCUCCUCCUAAAGAGUAACGGAGGAGCACGAAGGUUGGCUAAUCCUGGUCGGACAUCAGGAGGUUAGUGCAAUGGCAUAAGCCA